Molecule: transfer RNA, 93 nt
Filed under: Salmo salar (Atlantic salmon)
Lineage: Eukaryota; Metazoa; Chordata; Actinopteri; Salmoniformes; Salmonidae
Also listed under: 1 other name
Rfam family: tRNA
About the family: Transfer RNA (tRNA) molecules are approximately 80 nucleotides in length. Their secondary structure includes four short double-helical elements and three loops (D, anti-codon, and T loops).
Source: Rfam by way of RNAcentral
AUCCCUGUGGCUCAGUUGGUAGAGCAUGGUGUUUGCAACGCCAGCAUGGUGUGUGCAACGCCAGGGUUGUGGGUUUGAUUCCCAUGGGGGGCC